GCGAACGCUGGCGGCAGGCCUAACACAUGCAAGUCGAGCGGCCGUAGCAAUACGGCAGCGGCAGACGGGAUAGUAACACGUGGGAACGUGCCCUUUGGUUCGGAAUAACUCGGCGAAAGCCGUGCUAAUACCGGAUAAGCCCUUACGGGGAAAGAUUUAUCGCCAUUUGAGCGGCGCGCGUCUGAUUAGCUAGUUGGUGAGGUAAUGGCUCACCAAGGCGACGAUCAGUAGCUGGUCUGAGAGGAUGAUCAGCCACACUGGGACUGAGACACGGCCCAGACUCCUACGGGAGGCAGCAGUGGGGAGUAUUGGACAAUGGGGGCAACCCUGAUCCAGCAAUGCCGCGUGAGUGAUGAAGGCCUUAGGGUUGUAAAGCUCUUUCGACGGGGAAGAUGAUGACGGUACCCGUAGAAGAAGCCCCGGCUAACUUCGU
Molecule: ribosomal RNA, 433 nt
Filed under: uncultured bacterium
Lineage: Bacteria
Description: bacterial SSU rRNA
Rfam family: Bacterial small subunit ribosomal RNA
Source: RNAcentral